This 253-nucleotide ribosomal RNA is filed under the name uncultured bacterium. RNAcentral's name for it is "partial 16S ribosomal RNA". It matches the Rfam family "Bacterial small subunit ribosomal RNA", at positions 524 to 776 of the family's 1533-position model. The record is from RNAcentral.
UACGUAGGGCGCAAGCGUUGUCCGGAAUUAUUGGGCGUAAAGAGCUCGUAGGCGGUUUGUCGCGUCUGUCGUGAAAGCUUGGGGCUUAACCCCAAGUCUGCGGUGGAUACGGGCAGACUAGAGGCAGGUAGGGGAGAACGGAAUUCCCGGUGUAGCGGUGAAAUGCGCAGAUAUCAGGAGGAACACCGGUGGCGAAGGCGGGUCUCUGGGCCGAUACUGACGCUGAGGAGCGAAAGCGUGGGGAGCGAACAGG